UACGGAGGGUGCAAGCGUUAUCCGGAUUCACUGGGUUUAAAGGGUGCGUAGGUGGGUUGGUAAGUCAGUGGUGAAAUCUCCAGGCUUAACUUGGAAACUGCCAUUGAUACUAUCAAUCUUGAAUACCGUGGAGGUCAGCGGAAUAUGUCAUGUAGCGGUGAAAUGCUUAGAUAUGACAUAGAACGCCAAUUGCGAAGGCAGCUGGCUACACGAAUAUUGACACUGAUGCACGAAAGCGUGGGGAUCAAACAGG
RNAcentral lists this ribosomal RNA (253 nucleotides) under uncultured bacterium. RNAcentral's name for it is "partial 16S ribosomal RNA". It matches the Rfam family "Bacterial small subunit ribosomal RNA", at positions 524 to 776 of the family's 1533-position model. The record is from RNAcentral.